This is a long non-coding RNA of Myiozetetes cayanensis, 2296 nucleotides long. RefSeq lists it as uncharacterized. NCBI's taxonomy places the organism in Eukaryota, Metazoa, Chordata, Aves, Passeriformes, Tyrannidae. The transcript has 3 exons. The record is from RefSeq and is a predicted model, not a curated record.
GAUGACCUUGCUCAAGAAGGAGGAGAGAGAAUUUCAGGUUCUGCAGAUAAGAAAGCUUCCUUCUGAGAUUAGAAACAACACUGCCUGAGGAACUGCUGACAACAGUGGUAAAAUGGUGUUUGCCCUUGAAGUUCAGAUCAAGCCCAUAUUCCUGAGAGGGCCCCGUUCUUCCCCAACCAAGCAGUGUCUCAAGCCCUAUUUGUUGAAGACUCCUCAAGUCUCGUUCAGAAAACAUUAUUUCCUCAGAAGACAUUCUACAUGGUUUAUAUCAACAAACAUGUGGUGGCUUAUGCAAGGUAUGAGUGGCAUCAUCUCCACAGGAACUAAGACCUGUGUAAGAAAUGUCCGUGUUGUGUGUGUUAUUUAUUUUGGAUGUUCUACUUGAGGUGUUAUGGACCCAGCAUUUGGGACCAUUUGGCAUUGUUUGGCACUUUCUCGAAUCAAAAACCAGUAACCCAAGGCAAGCCUGGUGGGAAGGGUUCAUUCUCAAAUUCUUUCUGGGACUGAAAACACAGAAAAAAAAGGGUUCCUAGUCUCAGUUCUCCUGCCUUCACCCAGGACAGUCAAGAGAGUAGAGGAACUGCAUUUAAAUAGAAGGGUUUAAACAGCUCUAAGCUGGACCACAUUUUUAGAAAAUUAAGGUAAAAGGUGUUAGCAUAUCUCUAUUGAGCAUAUGCAACAUAUAUUUUUUCAGAUGUUUGUAACUUGAAAAUAGGAAAAGGUACGUUGCAUGCCAAACUGCAGUUCUUUCCUCAUGAUGUUGAUGACAUUGCAACCUUUACAUAAUUUUCAAUGUGAAAAACUCUCUUUGUCCCAUAGUGUUAUUCUGCAGUGCCUGAUCUCCCACAGCUGACAUGAAGAGAAAUACACUUCUCUCUACCCAAAGCCCCUGAUUAAAUCAAACUGAAGUUGGAGAAUGAAAAAUUUCAGACCAUCUGUUCAAAGUUAUAAACAAUUGAAACCAAGGUAUUUUUCUGGCCUGAGCAAUCAAGCAUAUCUACAAUAAUUAGAUUUAGUUAUGUUUCUUUAAGCCAUGUUCUUUUUUAUUCCCAUACAAAUACAUUUGUUAUCUAGAGCUCCAAAUACACUGGAAAAGGCAAAACAAACACAAAAAUUCUCUUCCUGCAAAGAUGAACAGGAAGAAAAUACGCUUCCAGAGUCAGAAACAAGGGUACUGUUCACAGGGAGAAAAAGUACCAUAGCUGCAUCUGCUUACAAAAAUUACACUCAGAUGACAGUGGGGUUUGUUGCCACCCUUGGCAGCAAAUUACUUUCAUUCCCCAUCCAUAGCUCUUUGACAUGAUCAAAGGAGUUAACAGCACAGAGUAUCCAAACCCUCCUAAGGGAAAAAAAAAAAAGGUUGUAUUUUCAAUCUUUUGUGGUUUUUACAUUUUUGACAUAUUUGUGGAUAUUACUGCAUAACAGGUGACCUGCAGAGGAGUUACGUUCAUUUAAAUGCUUCUACCAACUUAGCAGCUUCACCCUCGCAGUCAACAAACCUCAAACCCCAUUUUCAUUUGAGAAAACCUUCCAGAGUGAGGGUGAUUCCCUAAUUAGCCACAUCCUCCAUGUAUCACCAUUAGAUAACACAAGGAAAUGUGUUCACGGCUUGCUGCUUCAUCGAGCUGCUGUAGUGAUUCAUUCCACAUCAACUAGCACUGGGAGAGCAGAAACGCCCAGGCUGACAGCAGGGAUGUGAAGAGAGCACCAUUCUCAUAAGAUUUUUUCCCCACAGCGUCUCCCCCAUUGUUUUUUCACAGAUGAAGGUUUGCCCUGUACUGCCCCAAGGAGCUUGCCCUCCAUUUAUCUCCUAGAGUAGAAGAUCUUUGUGGGUCAGUUGUCCAAAACGUGUCAAAAUGUGUGUUUCUCGAUCCUGCUCCCAGCUGCCACCUCAUAGGGGGAUCAACUGGAUGCCAGUGUCUCUCUGGAGCAAUAACAUUCAGUUCCCAUGAAGUCCUGCUCCUGGAGACUGGAGGACUCUUGAUCAAAUUCUUGCAGUCACAGGACUCUGCUUACAAGAAGAGACGCUGGGGCAUGGUGCCCUGCUCUGAGCACCACACAUGCCACGAUGACUGAUCAUUCUUUGUGGGAUCCUCCAUUCAACUAUGGCUGUCUGAACACUGGCUGCAUCGUCCCAGCGCAGGGCCUGGAUUUCUUCCCUGGCCAGGGAACAACAGCCACAUGCAUGCAUCUCCAGAAGCCAUUUUAUCUGUCCUGUUUCAGACACAACUGCACAGGAAACGUAAGAAACCAUUUUUUGAUCAGAUCAAGCUCUUAGAAUGCUGUACUUGAGAAA